Molecule: unclassified non-coding RNA, 223 nt
Filed under: Glomus sp.
Lineage: Eukaryota; Fungi; Glomeromycota; Glomeromycetes; Glomerales; Glomeraceae
Description: partial contains 5.8S ribosomal RNA and internal transcribed spacer 2
Rfam family: 5.8S ribosomal RNA (bases 1-65)
Source: RNAcentral
GUGAAUCAUCGAAUUUUUGAACGCAAAUUGCACUCUCUUCGGAGAGGAUGCCUGUUUGAGGGUCAGCAUAAAAAAAAUCGACAUAGUUGCUGUUACGCGGUAACAUUCGGCGGAAAUGGGGUAAUCUUAAACCUAUGGGAUUAAGCGGCUAAAAGUUAUCAUUACGAUUACAAGAACGUUUCUAAGAUAGUAUCUUCUUAUACGUUCAAGGUAGCGAUCUAUA